This 76-nucleotide transfer RNA is filed under the name Bacteroidales bacterium. Its description in RNAcentral is "tRNA-Met". It matches the Rfam family "tRNA". Rfam says of the family: Transfer RNA (tRNA) molecules are approximately 80 nucleotides in length. Their secondary structure includes four short double-helical elements and three loops (D, anti-codon, and T loops). Further hydrogen bonds mediate the characteristic L-shaped molecular structure. tRNAs have two regions of fundamental functional importance: the anti-codon, which is responsible for specific mRNA codon recognition, and the 3' end, to which the tRNAs corresponding amino acid is attached (by aminoacyl-tRNA synthetases). tRNAs cope with the degeneracy of the genetic code in two manners: having more than one tRNA (with a specific anti-codon) for a particular amino acid; and 'wobble' base-pairing, i.e. permitting non-standard base-pairing at the 3rd anti-codon position. The record is from RNAcentral. Lineage: Bacteria; Pseudomonadati; Bacteroidota; Bacteroidia; Bacteroidales.
CGCGGAGUGGAGCAGUCGGUAGCUUGUCGGUCUCAUACGCCGAAGGUCACAGGUUCGAGUCCUGUCUUCGCAACAA